Molecule: long non-coding RNA, 380 nt
Organism: Arabidopsis thaliana (thale cress)
Lineage: Eukaryota; Viridiplantae; Streptophyta; Magnoliopsida; Brassicales; Brassicaceae
Product: other RNA
Exons: 1
Source: RefSeq
AAUCUCUAGAUUUAGCUACAAUGGAGUGUUAAGACACACACAACGAAGACGCAGAAGAAUGAUUAAGGCACAAGCAGUGUCAAUGAGAUGUGGAACAAGUUGCCAACACUACAAGUUUCAAUAUGGAAGAGAAAGAACAAAGGAGGAGACAAGGAGGUUAGUGGGUCCACUGUUUGAUGAUUGGGUAGGAAACAUUUAGUGGGCCACCACUUGUCUCUUUGUCCCUCCCAUCGUGAAUCAAUCUCCUCAUUGGUUGCUACACAAAAAAAGAAACUCCUGUGGGUCGGUCACUCGCCAUUCCUUAUUCCUCUAUUACCACUUUCUAUAUUACUUCACACUCCACAAAACUCUUCUAUAAACUUAGUAAGAAGCAUAAAGCU